RNAcentral lists this non-coding RNA (254 nucleotides) under Fimbriimonas sp. RNAcentral's name for it is "partial 16S ribosomal RNA". It matches the Rfam family "Bacterial small subunit ribosomal RNA", at positions 524 to 776 of the family's 1533-position model. The record is from RNAcentral. Lineage: Bacteria; Bacillati; Armatimonadota; Fimbriimonadia; Fimbriimonadales; Fimbriimonadaceae. RNAcentral also lists the same sequence under 2 other names.
GACGUAGGGUCCAAGCGUUGUCCGGAUUUACUGGGCGUAAAGAGCGCGUAGGCGGCUUGUUAAGUGUGGUGUGAAAUCUCCAGGGCUCAACCCGGAAACUGCACCGCAGACUGGCAGGCUUGAGGAAUGCAGAGGUAACUGGAAUUCCUGGUGUAGCGGUGAAAUGCGUUGAUAUCAGGAGGAACACCCAUGGCGAAGGCAGGUUACUGGGCAUUAUCUGACGCUGAGGCGCGAAAGCGUGGGUAGCAAACAGG